ACGUAGGGGGCGAGCGUUGUCCGGAGUUACUGGGCGUAAAGGGCGUGUAGGCUGUUAAUCAAGUCAGGUGUGAAAACUAUCGGCUCAACCGAUAGCUUGCGUCUGAAACUGUUUGACUGGAGUUUGGGCGGGGCAACUGGAAUUCCUGGUGUAACGGUGAAAUGUGUAGAUAUCAGGAGGAACACCUGUGGCGAAGGCGGGUUGCUGGACCAAAACUGACGCUGAGACGCGAAAGCGUGGGUAGCAAACAG
RNAcentral lists this ribosomal RNA (251 nucleotides) under uncultured bacterium. Its description in RNAcentral is "partial 16S ribosomal RNA". It matches the Rfam family "Bacterial small subunit ribosomal RNA", at positions 525 to 775 of the family's 1533-position model. The record is from RNAcentral.